GGAAUAUAAAAACCCGUCUCUUAACUUUUAAUUAAAAAAAUUAAGAACCGACUCUUAAAUAAGAGUUUUAAAAGAAAAUUUUUAGAUUUUUUAGUUAAAAGUUAAGAGACGGAUUCUUAUAUUCC
This is a microRNA precursor of Brassica oleracea var. oleracea, 125 nucleotides long. It matches the Rfam family "MIR9563 microRNA precursor family". The record is from Rfam. Lineage: Eukaryota; Viridiplantae; Streptophyta; Magnoliopsida; Brassicales; Brassicaceae.